AUGAUCUCUCGUAUUUGUUUGAUUUUUUGUAUUAUUUUCGUUUUGCUUUCAGGUUUCACAACUAGUUGGAAAGAUCCAUAUCUCUGUCAUGGGGAUUGCAGAGAUGUCGAAAAGUGCAAUAAAUUUUGCUUUGAUAUGGGUUAUAAGAAUCGUGGUUUUUGUAAUGUUUUUACUGCAGAUAAUCAGUGUUGUUGUCAUUAA
RNAcentral lists this long non-coding RNA (201 nucleotides) under Vicia faba (fava bean). The record is from RNAcentral. Lineage: Eukaryota; Viridiplantae; Streptophyta; Magnoliopsida; Fabales; Fabaceae.